GGAGUAAGCUGUUCUACCGCCGCGGUCUUGUACCGGGGAGGAAAGUCCGGGCAGCGAAGAGUGCCGUACUUCCUAACGGGAAGGCAGCAGGCCAGAAAUGACCGGUUGACAGCAAGUGCCACAGAAACUUAAACCGCCUGGCAUGUUUUUUAUGUGACGGGUAAGGGUGAAAAGGUGGAGUAAGAGACCACCGCCUGACGGGCGACCGGCAGGGCACGGUAAACCUUACGGGCUGAAAGAUCAAAUAGGUGUUGAUACGUGAGGCUACUCGUCUCCGCUUUCUCUGGAAAGCAUCAGCACGGGUAGAUCGUUAGAGGUUUCGGGUGACCGGAAUCCUGGAUAAAUGGUAGAAGCUCUGAUUAGCGAAAGUUAAUAGGAGAACAGAACCCGGCUUACAGGCUUAUUCUUAUC
This 411-nucleotide RNase P RNA is filed under the name Dyadobacter luteus. RNAcentral's name for it is "Bacterial RNase P class A". It matches the Rfam family "Bacterial RNase P class A". From Rfam's summary of the family: Ribonuclease P (RNase P) is a ubiquitous endoribonuclease, found in archaea, bacteria and eukarya as well as chloroplasts and mitochondria. Lineage: Bacteria; Pseudomonadati; Bacteroidota; Cytophagia; Cytophagales; Spirosomataceae. The record is from Rfam by way of RNAcentral.